AAGCUGGAUUCGCUAGUAAUCGCGCAUCAGCCACGGCGCGGUGAAUACGUUCCCGGGCCUUGUACACACUGCCCGUCAAGCCAUGGGAGCCGGGGUACCUGAAGUGCGUAACCGCGAGGAUCGCCCUAGGGUAAAACUGGUGACUGGGGCUAAGUCGUAACAAGGUAGC
RNAcentral lists this ribosomal RNA (169 nucleotides) under uncultured bacterium. Its description in RNAcentral is "partial 16S ribosomal RNA". It matches the Rfam family "Bacterial small subunit ribosomal RNA", at positions 1323 to 1500 of the family's 1533-position model. The record is from RNAcentral.